Molecule: long non-coding RNA, 372 nt
Organism: Hyla sarda
Lineage: Eukaryota; Metazoa; Chordata; Amphibia; Anura; Hylidae
Exons: 3
Source: RefSeq, a predicted model, not a curated record
GGCAACUACACCACUCUUCCUCUGCACAGGUUUUGAUAAAUCUCCCCAAAAGUGAUCACAGAAUGUUCCAAAUCUGUACUAAUGUAUUGAAAAUGAAAAACUAAAGUCUUGCAUUGACAUAAGUCACGGUGUUUUUGGCGCCUGAUGUGUGAGAUUCCCCCACGGUGAAGAUCAGUUUCUGAUUGAAGGCUUUCCUCAGCAGACCCAGGACUUCCCUCCCCUCCUUGUUAUCUGGCAGAUAGGACACCGCUCCUCCUCUGUCUUUGUGUCGGCAUUCUUGCCAGUGUCCAUUGCCUUUUUUAUGUUACCUCCAGAGGCAGCAGCUUCACCGAUGUCUUUUAUCUUAAAAAACUGCCGAAGAUUGUCUUCCGC